UACGGGGGGGGCAAGCGUUGUUCGGAAUUACUGGGCGUAAAGUGUGCGCAGGCGGCCGCGCAAGUCGAGUGUGAAAGCCCCGAGCUUAACCUGGGAAUUGCGCUCGAAACUACGUGGCUGGAGUGUGGCAGAGGAAGGUGGAAUUCCAGGUGUAGCGGUGAAAUGCGUAGAGAUCUGGAGGAACACCGAUGGCGAAGGCAGCCUUCUGGGCCAACACUGACGCUCAUGCACGAAAGCGUGGGGAGCAAAAGGG
This 253-nucleotide ribosomal RNA is filed under the name uncultured bacterium. RNAcentral describes it as "partial 16S ribosomal RNA". It matches the Rfam family "Bacterial small subunit ribosomal RNA", at positions 524 to 776 of the family's 1533-position model. The record is from RNAcentral.